Telopea speciosissima is the source of this 939-nucleotide long non-coding RNA. RefSeq lists it as uncharacterized. NCBI's taxonomy places the organism in Eukaryota, Viridiplantae, Streptophyta, Magnoliopsida, Proteales, Proteaceae. The record is from RefSeq and is a predicted model, not a curated record. The transcript is spliced from 4 exons.
CGCCGGCGUUUUCUUCCUCUUUGUUUCAAGCUUCUUCGUCUUCUGCUGAUACCUCCCCUUCGUUCCCCAGCUUGUCUUCUUCAAGUUCCAGUUCGGCUUCACCGUUUUCUGUUUCCUCAACACCGGCAUUUUUCAUUUGCCAGCGGUUCAGCUUUUUCUGAGAGCCCUUUGAGUUCUACAUCCACGAUUUUUUCUUCUCCUCCGCCUGCUUCAUCUUCAUCGUCCACAUCAACUUUCUCUUUUGGAAUUUCUGAAUCGUCUUCCUUCCAAGCAUCGUUUGGAUUUGGCAACGCAGCAUCUAGUGGUGCGUCUACUUCUAUAUUAGCACACCACUCACGAAGCCUCCUUCCUUCGGUUCUGGGAGUUCCUCAGUCAGUGCCGUGAUUGCUUCGGUUAUAACAGUGAGUUCAGCCCCUGCAUCUUCUGCUUCAAGCUUAUUCUCUUCACAAGCGCCUGCCUCGUUCGCUUCUACACCAGGAAGUUCUUCAGCGGCAGCUACAGCUUCAGCAGCACCAACUAGCACAGCUGCUUCCUCUGCUACUACGAGUCCUUUCCCAACUUUUUCCUUGUCAGGCAAAACAACAGCUCCAUCGUCAUCUGCGCAGCCCCAAACAACAAUCGCUGCACCACCUGCAUUUGAUUAUAAAAAAAUGGAACUCAGAGCUGCAAGAACACACCGGAAAAUUUCGAAAGCAAGCUUGUGCAAUAGCUGAGUGUGACAGGAGGAUCCUGCAAAAUCGUUCUUCUAAGGCUUGCGAUUGAAGUAGCAAAAGUUGUUGGGACACAAGCUAAUUUGGAGCGACAAUUGGAGUUGAUUGAAACUUAUCAACAAGAAGUUGACAAAAGCUUUGCAAGUAUAGAAGAAGAAGCUGAGCGUAUUUACAAGGAUGAGCGAGCAUUGCUACUGGAAGAUGAGGCUGCAUCUACAAGGGAUGCCAU